AAAGGAGUUUAAAGCAUCUCUUGUAAAAUAGGAGAAGGAGGGGUGAACACCGAAAUUUAUUGGUAGCACUUAGCAAAUCAGCAUUAUCCAAUAAUGGCUUAGAAAUAUCAUUUUCAUGUCAGUGUAUGAUUUGAAUUACUGGUGAAUUAUAGGGGAAUCAAUGCAACUCUGUGAACCCUUCCCCAAUGAUUUUGCUGGGUUAAAGCAUUUAGCAUUC
Pelobates cultripes (western spadefoot toad) is the source of this 217-nucleotide non-coding RNA. The record is from the annotation of a GenBank genome assembly. NCBI's taxonomy places the organism in Eukaryota, Metazoa, Chordata, Amphibia, Anura, Pelobatidae.